UUUUACUGCCCAUGGCGGGCGUUUCCUCCCUUGCACUCGGCCCCGCUCCCCAAUGAGCGGGGCCUUUUUGUCGAGGGA
Molecule: small RNA, 78 nt
Filed under: Methylobacterium sp. Leaf93
Lineage: Bacteria; Pseudomonadati; Pseudomonadota; Alphaproteobacteria; Hyphomicrobiales; Methylobacteriaceae
Description: Makes More Granules Regulator RNA (mmgR)
Rfam family: Makes More Granules Regulator RNA (mmgR)
About the family: SuhB later renamed mmgR (makes more granules regulator) was a putative non-coding RNA found multiple times in the Agrobacterium tumefaciens genome and related alpha-proteobacteria. Other non-coding RNAs uncovered in the same analysis include: speF, ybhL, metA, and serC.
Source: Rfam by way of RNAcentral